GACGAACGCUGGCGGCGUGCUUAACACAUGCAAGUCGAACGGAAAGGCCCUGCUUUUGUGGGGUGCUCGAGUGGCGAACGGGUGAGUAACACGUGAGUAACCUGCCCUUGACUUUGGGAUAACUUCAGGAAACUGGGGCUAAUACCGGAUAGGAGCUCCUGCUGCAUGGUGGGGGUUGGAAAGUUUCGGCGGUUGGGGAUGGACUCGCGGCUUAUCAGCUUGUUGGUGGGGUAGUGGCUUACCAAGGCUUUGACGGGUAGCCGGCCUGAGAGGGUGACCGGCCACAUUGGGACUGAGAUACGGACCAGACUCCUACGGGAGGCAGCAGCGGGGAAUAUUGCACAAUGGGCGGAAGCCUGAUGCAGCAACGCCGCGUGCGGGAUGACGGCCUUCGGGUUGUAAACCGCUUUCGCCUGUGACGAAGCGUGAGUGACGGUAAUGGGUAAAGAAGCACCGGCUAACUACGUG
This 468-nucleotide ribosomal RNA is filed under the name uncultured bacterium. RNAcentral's name for it is "partial 16S ribosomal RNA". It matches the Rfam family "Bacterial small subunit ribosomal RNA", at positions 28 to 507 of the family's 1533-position model. The record is from RNAcentral.